UGCAGCGCAAAAUGCAUUAAGCACUCCGCCUGGGGAGUACGGUCGCAAGACUGAAACUCAAAGGAAUUGACGGGGGCCCGCACAAGCGGUGG
RNAcentral lists this ribosomal RNA (92 nucleotides) under Priestia megaterium. RNAcentral describes it as "Bacillus megaterium partial 16S ribosomal RNA". It matches the Rfam family "Bacterial small subunit ribosomal RNA", at positions 845 to 935 of the family's 1533-position model. Lineage: Bacteria; Bacillati; Bacillota; Bacilli; Caryophanales; Bacillaceae. The record is from RNAcentral.